CUGUGGGGUUGGGAAAUACUUCACAGAAGUUAAAUUUUGGGCUGGGCUUGAACUAGAGGGCUUUUAUCAGAUGAAAAGAGAAAGUAUUUCAGGCAGAAGGGCUGGCAGAGAAAGGCAGAGAAGUGAGAAAGAGUCUGAUACGUUUGGGGAACAGAGAGCAGUGUAGAUUGCUGGAGCAUAGGUAUAGGUGUAGGGCAUUAAAACUAUCAAGUGAUAUUGAUGUUACGAGUAUAUAAUGGUAGGAAUCUUCAGAUAACAGUCGUAUGGUUAGGAAAGAUGGUAUGGAUCAUCCAUUAACUGGAUUUCAGAUUAUCCAUCAAUCAUCUCUGCCCUUGGAAAUAAACUAAUAGUGGGAGGUGUCUGUCAGACAGGAAAAAGGAAUCUAGUAGUCUUUCUAAGAGUGGGUGUGAUCUUUGAAACCAGAAGAGAUAAUGCUGUGCUUCCGGCUUUUAGAAAAAGCAGAUGUAAAGUACACAAGCUCAAGGAGGAUGUAAGGGCUUUCACCAUUCCUGGCACUUGGCUACUGAUGUUCCCUGAAAUAUUAGGUAGAAGAUUGCACAUAUUAUCUAAACCAGUGUUCUAAAAGAGACAUAAGUUGGAAGAUCAUCAACAAGUGAAAUCCUCUGGUAGCAGUGUUCUCCAUUCCUCACUUCCAUAAAAGCACCUUUAAUGGACAGCACACAGCUCUGGGCUUUGGAACAAUCAACCUGGCUCUAGUUCUGUCUGAAGAUCACAGUGGAAACUAAGGUUUGCCAUAUUUUUAUCACCAAUAAAGUGGGGCUAAUAUUGACUACCUAAUCACAUUUGCUAAGUGAUUGCAUCCGUACUGUGCUGUUGUGUUGGUAUUCAUGGUGAGCUGAUAAUUUUGUUCACAAAAAUCAAAGAAUUCAAGAAGUACUCCAGUGAGCCGAUUAUUUUUCCUCAAAAGACAAUUUCUAUCAGAUUCCUUCGAAAAUUAAAAAAAGUACCAUGACAAUUUCUAGCAGAUUCCUUUGAAACUUAAAAAAAGUAUUAUGGAACAAUUGUGAGAAAAUUUAAUGCUUUAGUUCUACUCCACUGAAAACUUAAAUGAAAAACAUUUUCUAUAAGACAGAUGAAAACAAAUGUUGUUGUUGUUAGAUACUGUCAAGUCAGUUCUGACUCACAGCAACCUUAUGUACAACAGAACGAAAAACUGCCCG
Molecule: long non-coding RNA, 1181 nt
Organism: Trichechus manatus latirostris (Florida manatee)
Lineage: Eukaryota; Metazoa; Chordata; Mammalia; Sirenia; Trichechidae
Exons: 3
Source: RefSeq, a predicted model, not a curated record